UUAUUGGAUGAUUGUACAUUUCAAUAUGUAUUAUCUUAUGUAUUACAAUAAAAUGAAGGAGAUUUUUCAAUGCGAGAUCUAAAAACAUAUCUUUCYGUGGCACCGGUACUAAGUACUCUAUGGUUCGCUUCUUUGGCAGGUUUAUUGAUAGAGAUUAAUCGUUUUUUCCCGGACCUGCUUUGAUACCAAU
Cynara cardunculus var. scolymus (artichoke) is the source of this 190-nucleotide long non-coding RNA. RefSeq lists it as uncharacterized. The record is from RefSeq and is a predicted model, not a curated record. The transcript has 3 exons. NCBI's taxonomy places the organism in Eukaryota, Viridiplantae, Streptophyta, Magnoliopsida, Asterales, Asteraceae.